GAUCCAACGCUUUCAUGGAUAGACCAUUUUCCGGUGAAAAGUGUGGAAGUCACGAUGAUGGAAUGGCGAAAAGCUGAACAACAGAAGAUGAUCUUCUAUGGCUUAGGGUUUCAGGAGAUCUCGGUCGUAAGUGCUUUGUCAGUAUGGUAUAAUAUGGUGGAAGAAAAUUUUGUCAGUGAGAAGGUGUUCUCUUUUUGGCUCAACGGGAAUCCUAAUGCAUAAAAGGUCGGUGACUUAAUUUUUGGUGAUGUUGACCCUAACCAUUUCAAACGAAAACAAACAUACGUUCCGGUUACUA
Molecule: long non-coding RNA, 298 nt
Organism: Vicia villosa (hairy vetch)
Lineage: Eukaryota; Viridiplantae; Streptophyta; Magnoliopsida; Fabales; Fabaceae
Exons: 3
Source: RefSeq, a predicted model, not a curated record